CCCGCCGUGAUAUUGCUGGAAUAUUGCUAAAAGCGGCGUAAAACCAUACUCACUCACUCACUCAAUCACUCGCUUAAAUUAAGAGGACCAGCAACAAGGGAGCACAAUUGAUGCCGAUGGGGAUGCCUACUUCUUGCCCAAAAUUCCACAUAGAUGUUAUCUAUGAGUAAAUCUAUCAUUUUACAUAUUGCUUUCCCAGUAAACUUGAGAUGGCAUUUGCUUUCUUUUUCACAAAUUUUCAUGAACCGUUUUUGAAUGUCGAGGCAGUGACAGAUGCCCAAUGAAUUGUGUUGUAUAUAUAUAUAAUAUAUAUGUCUGAAACUGAUAUAAAGAAGAUGAUGGACUAACGUGAACACUAUUAUUUUAUUAUAUAUUACAUGUACACCGAGUGAACAUUUACCUCAUUUUUGUAUAUAUAUAUAUUAUAUUACAUUUCAUGUAAAACUAUUAAUGUGUGCCUUCUUACCUAUACUGCAUAGUAAGGUGUACAUCCCGACAGUUUGACGGUGUGCAUGGCUGAGCGAGAGAUGGAAGUUUGCAAUGUGAAACGCUUACUGUAUGUUGCACCUUUUUCUAAUUUGCAUACAUGUACAUAUUUGGUGAGCAUAAAGCUUUAGUUCUUACUAACUUACCUUGCUUGCUUUUAAUGGUAAGUGACGUUAUUAUUACAUGAGUUUGGGUGCCAUAUUUAUAUAUUAAUAUCAGCUAUAAUAUAUUUGCUAUAAUGAACAUUGUAAUCUGAUUACAACAAUUUAUGACCAAUCAUUUCUUUAGUUUUACAAAGUGUAAAAUACAAACAGUGCUUUGCUUUAUUUUGAAUUGGUUUAUGCAAUGUAUGGCACAAUCGUAACCUGUACAUGUAGCUGCAUCUAUAGUAGAAGGCACAACAGACACGCCUUGCCAAAAGAUGAAGAUUCAACUGUAGAGAUGUCAGUCCAAACAGAAAUCAUGGAGGGUAGCCAUCUGAAUACGGUGAAUGUUAACUUAGAUGCUCCUGUUUCUAGAACGUAAGUAUUGUGUUAAUGCUUUGACAGUGAGAGUGGCAUUAUUAUUUCCGGGUCGAUAUAUAGUCUUUCGGUAACUUUAACGUUUGUUUCCCUUUGAGUUAAAUAAACUAAAUGUACUGUGAAUGUCCUUCAGAAGGACGGAAAAUGGCUAAAGGAUGAAAAAUGACACCAUUAAUUAUAUACCAUGUGUUAUCCUUGCAUAUCAAUUAUGUCACCAUGCCGCCGUUUCAAAGAUUUAUUGGAAUGGUAUGUAUAUCUGUUUUCGGUUUCAGUAAAGUCGAAUUUCCACGAUCCAGUCUCCAAGCAAUAUAUUACUGACCAGCGUUAAGAAGAUCUGAUGAUUCAUCCUCGAGACAUAUAUUGCUUGAGCAUGAUGUGCAACUUUACACGUCUCGUGGUAUACUCCUCUCCAUUUCACGUUGGAACUAAAAUUAUGUCGACAUUAAUUGAAGGACAACCACGCUUGUUUCUACACCAGACAACUUUCUAUUACUGCUUCACAGACGCCUGAUCAUGACCUCAACUAUGCGAUACAGAUUAUUGCCACAUUGGCACCUGACUGCAAUAAUAAUUAAAUAUCCCAAGAUGUUAUUUACUUACAAAUCCAUACGAAAAAAAGCAAUGUACGAAUACAAGAAGCCCAUGUUUUCUUUCCAAGACUAUCGAGGUGUACGAGCAUGUUGUAGGCUUUCUUAGGUAAACGGUGUUGAGGAAUUAUUAUUAUUUUCACCAUUACUUCAAGCAACGAGUGUAAGAUACCAUGUACAAUUGGUAUCUCCCGCAUUCUCCAUAAACCAUAUGACUUGGUGUUGACAUACCAACAUUCAAAAACAUUUUACAAGCGAGGAGAUAAACCUUUCCAAUUGUAUAGAACUCUUUACAACCGCAAUAUAUCAGACUCAUAUAGUAAAAUAGGUUCUAUUUGAGAAUCAAAUAAUUUAAAAUACAUUUUCGGUGAAAUAACUCCAAGCUGAGAGAUAACAGAGGGGACUUGUAACAGAGCCCUCUUUGCUCUGUUUGUGAGAUUAAGUAUAGACGUAUUCAGAUUCAGUGUAUGGGUAAACAAUAUGCCAAGGUAUUUGAAUUCAUUCACAACAUUAAUACUCUGACCUUUAAAAAAACAUUUCUCUCUUGCGGCUACUCGACCACCUCUACGAAAUAUAACAAUAUUUGUUUUAUCAAGAUUAGUACUAAGUUUCCAUUUAUCUAAAUAUAUCCCGAAAGUAUGUCAAACUGCUUCUGUAGACCAAGAAUAGUACUCGACAUCAUAAUCACAUCAUCUGCAAAAAGUAGCAUGAAGUUCUUAUAAAAGUUCUUAUAUGUCUAUCAGACUGCAUGAUAUCAACAUAUAACUUAUUUAUAAAAAAUGAGAAAAAUAAAAAUAUUAAAACACAUCCUUCGGCGUGACGAGUGAACGCUUUAACCACUAGGCUUAGAAAAGGUUUUAUACACAUUUCACAGUAGCGUUUUCUGUUGUAUUCACUGUGUCAAUAAUCACCAACACCCCAAGGGAUGGUGUAUAUCCUGCAGGGGUCCAUGCAGGUAGCAAAAUUACUGUAAGUCUCCAUGGUCCCUAGUGUGGUGAUCUGCCUUCAGUUACUGGCGAUCUAUAACACAUUUUAUAUGUUGUGUUUUUAAUGCUAAUUUAUAUCUUUUAUGCUCUCCAACUAGUUUUACGUAAAUCUGUGAUAUUAUGGUUAUUGUACUGUUCUUCGACGACAUGACUUUAUACAGUUAAAAUAUGUAACAUUUGGUCUCGUCACGACAUGGCUGAAAUAUUGCCGAUGUGACGUUAAAUUUAUCUCACUCUCUCACCCAGACAAAUGAUAAACAAUGUUAGCCAACAUGUGGCGUUCCCAACCCGUACACGGAUCAUAUCCACAUGAUGUCCCCCCAUGCUUAAUAUCAGACGCCUCAUCCUCCACUGAGAGAUGUGUUGCUGUUGCCUGGGUCAAUUCUUGAAGGUUUUGUACUGGAGGAUCCCUGGCUUUAACCCUAAGCCCUAAGUAAUCCCACAGAUGCUCGAUUGGAUUCAGGUCUGGGCUACGAGAAGACCACGGUAGAGUCUCUUUGACGUUGUUCUUGAGAUGGUUAGUCACCUGACAUUUGACUAAAUCAAGUUGACAACCUUAUCCUGCUCAAUUCACUCGACGCCUCUGUUGUGGGUAUGUGAGCAAUGACGAAAAACAGUGCAAGUUGAAGUUGGCAGCAGUUUUGCCUGCUGUACACGGACCUUGUCCUCUCUGGCACUGUUCUUCGUGGACGUCCUGAUCUGGGCAAGUCCCUCACCUGUCAAGUCAAUGUGUGUGACUGAUUACAGUAUGAUUAAUGUUCAACACGCUGGCAAUAACACGAUAUCACAUGCCACUUUGGUACAUGCCAUUGAUUUGACAUCAUGGAUUUUCUGUGACUGUAUGUUUAGGCCUUACAAUCGUUCCAAAGGCAGACCUUCAAACUGGAAGAAUUCCAUUCCAUUCAAAACUCGUUGGAAGCGUAUCCAAUACAUAUUAUUAUUAUGUGGCUGUAUUCAAAACAAUGAUUCUAACUGUUGUUAUGUGUCAAUUUUCGGAAGCCUGACCACUGUCGCCGCUAGGCGAAUACAUCACUGACUUUUGCUAUCAUCACUGUAUCUGUGUAUUUGAUAUUGACCACUGUCAUCAUAUUAUAUAUUGCCACUGAAUAUUGAACUACCACUUUAUUGUGUCUUGCCAUUUUAUGUCCUGUGCACUAAUUUGUAUUGAUUUGUAAACCUAGUGAAUUUUGUUAUACAAUAUUUGAUUGUC
This 3790-nucleotide long non-coding RNA is filed under the name Haliotis rufescens (red abalone). RNAcentral's name for it is "uncharacterized LOC125374778". Lineage: Eukaryota; Metazoa; Mollusca; Gastropoda; Lepetellida; Haliotidae. The record is from RNAcentral.